CCUACGGGAGGCAGCAGUAGGGAAUCUUCGGCAAUGGACGGAAGUCUGACCGAGCAACGCCGCGUGAGUGAAGAAGGUUUUCGGAUCGUAAAGCUCUGUUGUAAGAGAAGAACGAGUGUGAGAGUGGAAAGUUCACACUGUGACGGUAUCUUACCAGAAAGGGACGGCUAACUACGUGCCAGCAGCCGCGGUAAUACGUAGGUCCCGAGCGUUAUCCGGAUUUAUUGGGCGUAAAGCGAGCGCAGGCGGUUAGAUAAGUCUGAAGUUAAAGGCUGUGGCUUAACCAUAGUACGCUUUGGAAACUGUUUAACUUGAGUGCAGAAGGGGAGAGUGGAAUUCCAUGUGUAGCGGUGAAAUGCGUAGAUAUAUGGAGGAACACCGGUGGCGAAAGCGGCUCUCUGGUCUGUAACUGACGCUGAGGCUCGAAAGCGUGGGGAGCAAACAGGAUUAGAUACCCCAGUAGUC
This 465-nucleotide ribosomal RNA is filed under the name uncultured Streptococcus sp. RNAcentral describes it as "bacterial SSU rRNA". It matches the Rfam family "Bacterial small subunit ribosomal RNA", at positions 338 to 795 of the family's 1533-position model. The record is from RNAcentral. Lineage: Bacteria; Bacillati; Bacillota; Bacilli; Lactobacillales; Streptococcaceae.